GGAACUCUCGGCCCCGACCUACCAGGAAACCAGCAGGCCUCAGGCCCGCUGUGGGGGCUUCCUUCUCCUCCUGUCUCUUCUGUGGGUUUCUAAAGCUGCCAGCCAAGAUAGCCAAGGCCAAAGGAAGCACAUGCCUCUCUCAGGCCAAACUCACCGCCCCCGCCCCCAACUUUCCUCUAGAGUCAGGCCACAGGAAAUGGGAAAUAGAUCUUAUAUUGCCACUCCUUCCCCAAGAGCCCAAGCCUUCUUGGUCUUGACCAUGAGACCAGAGAUGCAAAACUGGGCACCUUGAGGAUCUUAGAGUGGGGUUGCCAAUGGAAACCCAAGGAUGGUCAUCCCCUGCAGCUGGGUAAAAGGAAAGCUUCAGCCCCUGAGGGCUGUUCACAUGGCCCUGAUCUUCUAGACUUGGCUUGACCCAUGGCAGCCCCUUGGCCAAGUUGAAGGCAGAAUGAAAAAGAGGAGAGAAGAGAAUGCACAGAUAGAAGCCGCCAUUUUGAAUCCUUACAGAUAAUGUCCCAAUGGCUCCCACUCCUCCAAAAGGGGUAAUAGUCACCACAGAUUCUCCACGUUCUGGCCACAGGACAGAGGACCCCAUGCGUCUAUCAUAAAGGAUGCCCAAAGAUCCAUCUGAUAUUUGAAGCCCAGGAGAGGAACUGUGGAUUCCAUGAAAAAUCCACAAGCCUUUGACCCAUGGACCUUGCUUUGCUGGUCACCAAGCUGUUUUCUAAACCUCGUUGGCAUUUGGGAACCUGGGAUCUGUGCCAUCUACUCAUCACCCACUCUCCAUGCCUAGCCAGUUGAACUUGGCCUUACUUUCAUCUUGAAAGAAUGACCUCGAUUGAAGUGAAAGUCAAGUUAUCCCUUCUUAAAAGAGGGGUCAGUGUCCUAUUGAACCGGCUAACUUUGGGGUAGGUGGGAAAAUCCUGAGGGGAGCCAAAUAACUCCUGCCUUGGAACAGAAGGUUUUGAGGAAUGGGAUAGAUUCAGGCCCCAAGGGCAGGGAGGGAGAAGCUGCCUCCUGGAGAAUUAACCAAAGACCCAACACAGAGACACAUGCCCUCCUGGCCCCUGGUCUCUUCUCUGGAGCAGCUACGGCCUUGCUGGGCUUGGGGGAGAGAGCAACGUGUGGGCUGCCAGGGAGGGAGGCAGACCAGAUGGUCUGGGGGUUCCACCUUGCUAUCAUGGAUUUUCUAGAGGUCUGGGACUUUAAGAUUCUUAGAGAAGAAUGAGACGUGAAGGGUGAGGUGCAAAGUGUCCUUAAAGAGUGCAUUGUGGGGCCAGCAGGCCUCCCGUGGCCAAGGGUAGAGGGUAAUUUCUGGGCAAGGUAGAGAGGGCCGGAAGUUCUGGACUGAGGACCAGGGGACAACAGCCACUUCUCCCCCCUCUGUCCUGGUGCUGCUGGGAAUCCAGUGAGAAGAGCCACGUUUCUGCCUCCAGGGCCUUCUCGGUGGGGGUGAAGCACCCUCCCUGGGCACAUGUGAUGGAGCCUGUCUCUCCUCCAGACUGAGUGGGACCCCCACCCCCAUGGUUCCCAGAAUCACAGCAGGACGGGCUACACUGGAGGAGGGACCCGAGGGCUAGACUGCAGUGGAGCCCAGGGCACAGAUGAUGGGAAAAGCCAUGCUGUCGUGAGCUCUGCGGGGUCGCGGGAGUGUUCACGUGGAUUUGUCUCUGUAAGUGUGAGCCUGGGGGUUGAGGGGGGGAAACUGAUCUGGACAUAUAAUGUCCAGGGCACACAAUAAUAGGUGACCUUUUGGGAUCUGGUGUGUGUGUGUGUGUGUGUGUGUGCACUUGAGUGAACUGAGGACUAGGAAGACAUAUCUGAACCAGCAGUAGAACCCCAUUUAUGUAAAAACAGGAGAAGCCAUGUCGUAACGGGGUUCUGACGAGUACACAGAGGUACGCAUACAGGCACGGUGUGUCGGCUUGUGUGUGUGUGUGUGUGCGCGCACACACAUUCAUACACUGAAUGGCAGAGGAUGGAGGGCAGGUGAGGCCUGCAGCACAGCCAAAUACAUGUAAAAGGAGAAGCCAUGUCAUCAAGGGGGCCACGCGUGAGCCAGUGAGCACACGGGGAGGCUUGUGUGCCCAGCGGAGAGCAGGAGGUGGGCAGAACCAGACUGUCACGCAGCAUGGGUCCACACAUAGGGCAUGUGAGGAGCAUGUGGAACUGGAGUUUGUGACUGCGUGUGUGAGUGUGCUCGUGCCCAAGUGUUUGGACACACAUGUGUGUUCCAGCUCACGGCAGGAGCAGAGACGGACAAUCAACCAGGAAGGGGACAUCAGGGUCGGUUUGCACUCCUAUCACUGAGGGAUUGUGUGCCACAGAUAUGGGGAGAUGGCACGCGUGUGUGCACGGGUGACGUCCCCGUGGGGAAUCCCUGCAGGGGCUCAUGGCUGGUGACUCCUAUGCUAUAGGCAGAGUGCCCUGUUAGAAGGGAAAACAGCUUUGUAUUUGUGAUUCCUGAUACCAGGACUCUAAUGAACACAUGUAUCGAUUCCCUCCCACCAACCACAGUCAUGGACCACUGUCUCACUUUGUCAGAUACGACUUCAUAGCACAUGCCACGUCCACGCUCAUGGCUCACACGUGUGCUUCCGUGUAGGACGCUGUACGUGCGUGUCGUGUUCUUCUGAGGCUAUGCACCUGUGGAGAUUGUGAUAGACAAAAGGGAAGUGACGUGGGGUUGGAAGUUUUUCAUAAAAGGAAUGAAGAAUGGUUGGAUAAACAGGCACAAUUCAACGAGGGCAGUCCCCAAAAGGUACUGAAAUGGUUUCUAGACUCUUCCAUGGAGGUGGGAUGGCGCACUUCCUGGUCUGUCCCCUCCUCGCCUGUGUCCAGAGGUGUGGCUAGUGUUCAGCCUCUGGCUGAUGUUCCAGAGACCAGCCCAACGGGCCAGGUGCACUGAGACGGCACUGCCUGGGGCCAAGCUGUCCCUCCCAGGGUGCUGAAGGUGGCGCUCCCUCUGUGAGGUGGGAGGGGAGGAGGGUGCUGAGGGAGGUGCUCUUGAGGCGGAUCAAGAGUUCUUACGGUUGGGGCCUGUGCUGCCUGCGGGGGGUGCAGCUGAGCCGGGGCAGAGCCACGCCUGUGUGUGUGUCGGGGCACACGUGGAGUGACAGGAGGCAGGAAAGCUGGUGCAGAUGGAGCAGAAGGUGGACGGUGCCUGAGCGGGUGCUUAAAUAUCCCCAUCUGGUCCCACGUGCCAGCGCUGAGCAGAAGAAGGCCCUCUCCACAAUGCCUGCGCCUGUCCACGUACUCAUGCUGGCCAAACCGAGGAGAGGCCACCCCACCCGACAGUGAGCCCUCCUCUGCCCCUCCCUCCACCUGCUGUGGGCAGACAAGAAUCCCUGAGAGCUCUGUUGGCAUUGGGGUGGCCCCACUCUGCAAGUGUCUAACAAGAGGGAAAGUGCCCCACUGGCCAGUCAGCUGGACUCUACAUCCCUGAGGAUGGAGGGCCACCCCUCCUCAGUCCAGAUGCUGCCUCCGCUGGAAGAGCUCAGCUGGGCUCUGCCCCAACAGCCUCACACCAGAAGAUGCAAACCCUGGUCCAGGAUGUGGGAGGGGUCCAAACCGCUUACCUCCUAGAAAGCAGAAGUCAGACCAGGGCACAGAUUCACCAAGAUGAGUCAGAAGCCCCUCCCUGCCUGCUUUUCCAAGGUGGGGGUCCCGGGAGCAGCUUCUGCUUCCUCACUCAGCAUGAAGCUGGCCCCUCCCUGAGUCACACCGCCGUGUGCACGCACAUCAGAAAGCAGGUUCAACUCAGUGGCCCACAUCUGGAGUGGCCUGCAUGGAUACCCAUCUGGAAAGGCCUCAUGAUGUGGACAAUUGUAUGAGUUUAAUAACAUCUGGGACCAGCCAGUCCCAUGGACAGAUGAGAAAAAAGAAAAAGAAAAAACUAAUGGGCCCAGCUCUGUGAAGGGGUCUGUGGAUUAGACACAUCUGGAAGUUCCAGGUUGGAUGGACACAUCUGGAAUGGGCCCAGACUCUUGCCACAGUGGAAGGGCCCUGCCCUCUGUCCCCAGGCUGGUUGGACUCAAGACCUCAUUUCAGUCCUGAUUUGCCCUGAUGUUAAAAUUUUCAGAGCUGAGGUGGUACACGAAGUCACCAAACAGUUUUAGGUAGAAGGUUAAUGUUCUGUACAAUAUAUAUAUGAAUGUAAAUAUAUAUAUAUAUAUAACUGUAUGUAUAUAUAUAUAUAUGCACAGUGUAUAUACGCCCAUAGCCCAUGUGUAUACCAGCCUUCCCCGCACGUCUGCAGAGUGUACGGGACCCAGCCGGUGUAGGUGGGGACCAGGUGAGAGAUGGGGGCCACUGCAGCAAGGUCUGGGACAGAGGUUUCAGAAAGCCCUUAGGGGUGGGACAGGCCCUUCAUCCAUCAGAGAUUGAAAAAGAGGGUAGAACCGUGCAGGGCUGGCAGGUGGGCCUCGUGUGGGGGCAGAAAGCAGCCACGGGACCUUGUCUGCAUCCAGGAGUCAGAGGCAGGACGGUCUGGGACGCCUGGCAGGAGGAAGGGGCACACCCCAGGGCUGCGGUCCUGCCCACCUGCAGUCCCCGGGCAGGCGUGAAGCUCCACCUGGAGACACCCAGAUGGGGGCUAUUCUGGGCAGCAAAGGCCUCAGAGUGGUGCCACCACACAAGGACACCCCCAGCUUUGUAAAGAGAGGGGCCUGAGGACAUUGCCAGCAUGCCACUACAAUGUCCUGAUGCCCUGGAGGUCACCACUCCUGCUCUCCUGGCCCCUGCCUAUAGAACGGAGGACCUCACCUCACCCAACAGUUUGUCUCUGAGGCCUCCAGGUAGGAGCAAGCAGCCAGGGGCUCGGAAAAAUGCCAGCUGAGAACGUGGUGCCCCUGCGACCCAGACGCACUCUCCAGGGGCCAGAUGUCAGGGAACAAUGGAGGAGACACACAGGUGAAAGGUGGGAGGCCAGAGGCAGCUCCUGUCCCAGCACAGCCCAGUGCCACCUGUCUGCCCGGUCCUCUGUGUCUUCCCCAGAGGGCAAUUGGCAGAGAGCCCCAGCGAGCCACAGACCUGCUGGAUCCAUCUGUGCUCUGCACUUGCAGUUCUUUAGCCCCUCACGGGUCCGUGCACCUCUGGCCCACGCAGGGGAAGACAGAGCUGGAGUAGGCUUGGCUUCUGUGGCGUCUGCAGCCUGCCCUCUGCUUCGGCCCCAGGCAUCAGUCUGCACUUAGCUCUGGGCCCUGGCCAAGUGCAUCUAAAUCCAGCCCCAAGGAGGAUCCUGUCCUGGCCCCACUGGGACCAGAGGCUCCAGAGCCUUCAUGCCACUGUGCUCCGAAACCCCAGCCACCCCUGCCUGGGCUGAAUUCCUGGCUGGGCUUCUGUGAUGGGGACCUCAGUUUCCAGCCCCUGGGCUGAGCCCCCUGGACAGUACCAUGGGCCUCUGAGAGCCCUGGCCUGUCCCACCACCCAGACCAGAGUGCCUGGACACCCCUGCUCCCAUUCAACAAGGUUCCCACACACUGGUCUCUGGGCCAUUCAGGGGAUGCCCUUUGUGGACAUGCAGAAUUUCUAUGAAUAUAGUUUUUUGUAAACAUUUUGUAACAAUUUGGGUUUCAUAGUAACUGUGUUACUUGCCAAUCACUCUAGGCUGAUGUAAAUAAAUUUCCA
RNAcentral lists this long non-coding RNA (5628 nucleotides) under Marmota monax (woodchuck). The record is from RNAcentral. Lineage: Eukaryota; Metazoa; Chordata; Mammalia; Rodentia; Sciuridae.